RNAcentral lists this transfer RNA (73 nucleotides) under Mus musculus (house mouse). It matches the Rfam family "tRNA". Rfam says of the family: Transfer RNA (tRNA) molecules are approximately 80 nucleotides in length. Their secondary structure includes four short double-helical elements and three loops (D, anti-codon, and T loops). Further hydrogen bonds mediate the characteristic L-shaped molecular structure. tRNAs have two regions of fundamental functional importance: the anti-codon, which is responsible for specific mRNA codon recognition, and the 3' end, to which the tRNAs corresponding amino acid is attached (by aminoacyl-tRNA synthetases). tRNAs cope with the degeneracy of the genetic code in two manners: having more than one tRNA (with a specific anti-codon) for a particular amino acid; and 'wobble' base-pairing, i.e. permitting non-standard base-pairing at the 3rd anti-codon position. The record is from Rfam by way of RNAcentral. Lineage: Eukaryota; Metazoa; Chordata; Mammalia; Rodentia; Muridae.
GGAGAAAUGACUCAGUGGUUAAGAGUACUGGUUGUUCUUCCAGAGGAUCUGAGUUCAAUUCCCAGCACCUCCC